CGCUCGACAUCAGAGUUUGAUCCUGGCUCAGGAUGAACGCUAGCUACAGGCUUAACACAUGCAAGUCGAGGGGCAGCGGGGAUGAAGCUUGCUUUAUCUGCCGGCGACCGGCGCACGGGUGCGUAACGCGUAUCGAACCUACCGCAUACUCAGGGAUAGCCUUGCGAAAGUAAGAUUAAUACCUGAUGUUAUUAUGUCCUUGCAUGGGGAUGUAAUUAAAGAUUUAUUGGUAUGCGAUGGCGAUGCGUCUGAUUAGGUAGUAGGCGGGGUAACGGCCCACCAAGGCGACGAUCAGUAGCCGGCUUGAGAGAGUGAACGGCCACACUGGAACUGAGACACGGUCCAG
RNAcentral lists this ribosomal RNA (346 nucleotides) under uncultured bacterium. RNAcentral describes it as "bacterial SSU rRNA". It matches the Rfam family "Bacterial small subunit ribosomal RNA", at positions 1 to 334 of the family's 1533-position model. The record is from RNAcentral.